GUGCUCACUUCAGCAGCACAGAUAAUUAAAAUUGGGCUGAUAGAGAAUAUUAGUAUGUCCCCUGCACAAGGAUGACAUGCAAAUUUGUGAAGUGUACCAUAUUUUA
Talpa occidentalis (Iberian mole) is the source of this 106-nucleotide small nuclear RNA. NCBI's taxonomy places the organism in Eukaryota, Metazoa, Chordata, Mammalia, Eulipotyphla, Talpidae. The record is from RefSeq and is a predicted model, not a curated record.